Molecule: long non-coding RNA, 789 nt
Organism: Xyrauchen texanus (razorback sucker)
Lineage: Eukaryota; Metazoa; Chordata; Actinopteri; Cypriniformes; Catostomidae
Exons: 3
Source: RefSeq, a predicted model, not a curated record
UUUAAUCUUGCGCGUGCAGAACAUUUUUGUGCGCUCAAAAUAUCCUCUUGUGCAUGCAAAAUAACUUUUUGUGCGCUCAACAUUUCAUCUUGCACAUAUAUAACUCCAUAGAGAACUCCUACAGUAGGUGGCUGCACGCGCACGUUGAUCCGGUGCGCUCGAGAUCUCCGCCGCGCGAAGAGAAGCUCAACGGUGUUGUACAGUCCUGUCAAUAAAAACGGAGAGGAGCACGUCAGAAAAGAGGUCUAUCUGUUUAUUUAACCCAUAUUUCCAGAGAGUAAUUGAGGAUUGUUGUAGCUCGUGAGGGACACUUGGAAAGACUUUCUUCAGCGGAUUCUCCGAUCGCGCUUCGGCUCUACCGGAUACCUGAGGCUUGAAUUAUUCCAUGAAGGAUCAAGAGUUGCUUUUUCACGCAAAGUGGAUUUUUUUGCACUCGAUCGUGCCGUGGGUCCGUGUGUGUGUGCGUGUGUGUGUGUGCGCGUGUGUGUGUGUGUGUUCACUGAAGAUCAGAGUCGCUCCUCCUGAUCGGGUGUUUUCUCACUGCGAUCUGUUUCCAUGUUUUUAGGUUUAUGUGAUAUUUCUAAAAUGCAUCAUCAUCAUCACCAUCAUCACCAGAGAAUGGCCACGUUAGGGACGGAUAAAGAACUUAGCGAUUUACUGGAUUUCAGCGCGAUGCCAAACAGCGAUUUGAAAAUGUUCCCAACACCAAUGAUGUUUUCCCCUCCAGUCAGUGGUGGAAAAAAUGGGCCGACAUCUCUAGGAAGUGGACAUUUCUCCGGCUCAAGUAUG